GCCUGGCCGAGGAGGCAGCACCUCGCCUCUGACCUCUGGGAACAAGGUCCCUCCUUCCUGUUCACAGCCCGGGGACGUGUCUUGUCCCCGAACACAAGUCCAAAUUCACGGUGACACAUUGUUAAGUGGAGUCUUCAUGGCCUGAGGACAGAAGACAGGCUGCUGUCACCAGGCUGGCGCUGGUGAUGACCGCAGUGGCGCACAAUCUUUCCCACGGAGCGAACGUAGCCUUACAAUCGCAGGAGCGUCUGAACUGCAGGUUAUAUGUGCUUCUUGUCACAGAGGAGUGUGAAGCACAGUCAACGCUGACUUCCAGUUGUUUUACAGAACAUGAGC
Long non-coding RNA from Pteronotus mesoamericanus, 336 nucleotides. RefSeq lists it as uncharacterized. NCBI's taxonomy places the organism in Eukaryota, Metazoa, Chordata, Mammalia, Chiroptera, Mormoopidae. The transcript is spliced from 3 exons. The record is from RefSeq and is a predicted model, not a curated record.